CCUGGCGACGAGUGGCGAACGGGUGAGUAAUGUAUCGGAACGUGCCCAGUUGUGGGGGAUAACUGCUCGAAAGAGCAGCUAAUACCGCAUACGACCUGAGGGUGAAAGCGGGGGAUCGCAAGACCUCGCGCAAUUGGAGCGGCCGAUAUCAGAUUAGGUAGUUGGUGGGGUAAAGGCCUACCAAGCCGACGAUCUGUAGCUGGUCUGAGAGGACGACCAGCCACACUGGGACUGAGACACGGCCCAG
Molecule: ribosomal RNA, 247 nt
Filed under: uncultured bacterium
Lineage: Bacteria
Description: partial 16S ribosomal RNA
Rfam family: Bacterial small subunit ribosomal RNA
Source: RNAcentral